AUUGAACGCUGGCGGCAUGCCUAACACAUGCAAGUCGAGCGCAGCGGCGGACGGGUGAGUAAUGCCUAGGAAUCUGCCCGGUAGUGGGCGACACCGUCCGGAAACGGGCGCUAAUACCGCAUACUAUCAGAUGACCCUAGGUCGGAUUAGCUAGUUGGUGAGGUAAAGGCUUACCAAGGCGACGAUGCGUAGCUGGUCUGAGAGGAUGAUCAGUCACACUGGAACUGAGACACGGUCCAGACUCCUACGGGAGGCAGCAGUAGGGAAUAUUGGGCAAUGGGCGAAAGCCUGAUCCAGCAAUGCCGCGUGUGUGAAGAAGGUCUUCGGAUUGUAAAGCUCUGUAGGUAGAGAAGCGUUACCAACAGAAUAAGCACCGGCUAACUACGUGCCAGCAGCCGCGGUAAUUC
This 407-nucleotide ribosomal RNA is filed under the name uncultured bacterium. Its description in RNAcentral is "partial 16S ribosomal RNA". It matches the Rfam family "Bacterial small subunit ribosomal RNA", at positions 30 to 526 of the family's 1533-position model. The record is from RNAcentral.